This 2400-nucleotide long non-coding RNA is filed under the name Sus scrofa (pig). Its description in RNAcentral is "lncRNA (ENSSSCG00055005419.1)". The record is from RNAcentral. Lineage: Eukaryota; Metazoa; Chordata; Mammalia; Artiodactyla; Suidae.
AUUGCAGAGCCGCACAGCUGGGGACCAGAUCCUCACGGUGAGAGGAGCUGCUUCGUGCUCACCCUCAGCCCAAGGAAGACUCCUGGGGCGAAGCCACACCUCGUUCCAGCCUGACCCAGACGGAGCGGAAGGGAGAUCCCUGAGACCCUGCAGCUGCCACCAUGAGCUCAUUAGCUUUCUUGUGCUUAGACAUAGAGGACUUUUUGAAGGCUGUCAUUAAGUGUUUGCAAACCGUAAUAAAGAGUGAGGAGAUGAAACGUCUGCUCACUCAAGUCCUGGACAGAAUUCUGGCUGAGAUCCGUUUGCCCAGGGAAGAGGCAGAUGCACUGUGUGAGUAUCUGGAGGAGCUGGAAACAGACUUGAGCAUGAAGAAUAAAGAGCAGCUGGAUAGAAAGAGGUUUUUGACGAGGUUUCCUCACAUAAAACUGGAGCUCGAGGAGCGUAUAGGAAAGCUGCAUGCGCUUGCGGACAAGGCUGACAAAGUACACAGAGACUGCACCAUCUCCAAAGUGGUGGCCACCUCCGCUGACGCUGUGUCCAGCGUCCUGACCAUCGUCGGUCUGUCUCUGGCACCUGUGACUGCAGGGGUCAGCCUAGCACUCUCUGCCACUGGGUUGGGGCUGAGAAUAGCGGCUUCUGUGACCAGUGUGUCCACCGACAUUGUGGACAAGAUCAGUCUUUCAUUAAGAGAAACUGAAGCCAGUUGCCUUCUGUCAACUGAUAUCAAAAAAUGGCACGUGGUCGUGCAGGUUCUAGUUAAGAACACCCCCAAAAUUGUUGACAAUGCACGGGUACUUGCAAAAGCCAUAGAACGCGUUGAAACCAACAUUAGAGCCAUGGAGCGGGUCAAAGUCAACCCUUGCUUAGAAGCUCACUCAAAUCUCUUAUGGACCGAUGAGGGAAUCGAAGCCUUAAGCAGCACACAGAGGAAGGCAGCUUUCAGAGGCAGUGCUCUGGCAAUGACCAAAAACGCCCGGAUCAUGGGAAUAGCCACUGCAGGUGUCGGCCUUCUGGUGGACGUGGGCUUCCUGGUGAAGGAGUCAAUCCACUUGCACAAAGGGGCAAAGACACAGUUGGCUGAAGCGCUGAGGCAGCGUGCCCAGAAACUGGAGAGGAAGUUGGAGGAGCUCACCUGCAUCUAUGACAGUCUGCAGGAGGGCCCGACUCCGCCACCCCCAGAGCAGUGCACGGACCAGACCCAUGUCCAGGGCCAAGACUAGGAGGUGCCUUUGUUUGAGAGGGAAAGAAGGGUCAAUGUAUCUCUGGAGCUGAGUGCAGCAGGGGAGGAAUUGAUGCAGAUGGCAGCUGGGUGCAAGACAAGGAAGGGGUGUGGAGCCUGCAAUAAGGGAGGAGAGGGGACUGGAGAGAGAGGGGAAUGGGAAAAACCAUCAAUUUUGGACUAAAAAAAGACACUGAGGCAUGAUUAAAGACAGAGGAAGGAAGGAAGAGGAAGAAAGAAAGAGAAAAGAAAGACAUAUAGGAAGGAAGAAAAGAAGGAAGGAAGAAAGAGGAGAGGGAGAGAGAGAAAGAAAGGGAAAGAGAGAAAGAAAGAGAAAAAUGAAACCAGACAGCAGCAACGGGUCAGGGAACUUUGUUUUGUGUCAAGGAGAUGAACCAGCCUGGGGCCAGCAGAGGCAGCCUCUCUGAACCUAUGUCAGUUGAGAUUCCUUUGGUUUUUAAGCAACAGAACCUGCGUCUGGCUAUGUCAGCACAAAAGAGGGUAUCUUGGAAAGGAACUAGGGCAGGUCAGAGAAUGGAAAGAAGCACAAACUCUGCACAGUUCAGAAAGGACAGGAAGCAGGGCAGGUCCAACUCCAGGAGCUUAUGGUCAGCCCCGCCCCCUAGGCCCCUGCCAGCAGGUGGCUUAGGUCCCCAGUGUCAAAUCGCAGGAGACAGAAUAGCUUGACAUUACCUCGGUGUGGGAAGCCCGAGAGACCAGAUCCUUCCUUCUCUCUGCCACCUCCUGUCAUCCAGGGCUCAUGCUCCGGCUAGGUUUAACUCAUUGGCUCUUUCCAUAUGGGUCCAGAUUCUGGAGCAAACAAAGCAAAGACUAAGUGUCCUUAGGACCAAUUCUGGGAGUUCCCUGGUGGCACAGUGGAUUAAGGAUCUGGUGGUGUUAUGGCUCGGGUUGCUGCUGUGGCGCAGGUUCAGUCCCUGCCCAGGGAACUUCCACAUGACUUCUGAAGAGGGGAAGGGUAAUGGGAGUGCCUGCAUCCUGCACCACUGAGGAUGGUAUCUGAAGGUGGCAGAAGCAAUAGUGUUCUGAGGAAAGAUGAGUGUUUUGCUCUCUGCCCUUAACACCAUCAUGGUGUCUUGGCUUACACAUAUUUUCCAAGCCUGGACUCCAGCCUCCUCUUAUGACAAUAUUCCAGUAAAUACAUUUUUUUUUCCUCUAAGAAA